GUGGGGAAUCUUAGACAAUGGGCGCAAGCCUGAUCUAGCCAUGCCGCGUGAGUGAUGAAGGCCCUAGGGUUGUAAAGCUCUUUCAGCUGGGAAGAUAAUGACGGUACCAGCAGAAGAAGCCCCGGCUAACUCCGUGCCAGCAGCCGCGGUAAUACGGAGGGGGCUAGCGUUGUUCGGAAUUACUGGGCGUAAAGCGCGCGUAGGCGGACUGAAAAGUUGGGGGUGAAAUCCCGGGGCUCAACCUCGGAACUGCCUUCAAAACUAUCAGUCUGGAGUUCGAGAGAUGUGAGUGGAAUUCCGAGUGUAGAGGUGAAAUUCGUAGAUAUUCGGAGGAACACCAGUGGCGAAGGCGGCUCACUGGCUCGAUACUGACGCUGAGGUGCGAAAGCGUGGGGAGCAAACAGGAUUAGAAACCCCAGUAGUCC
Molecule: ribosomal RNA, 425 nt
Filed under: uncultured bacterium
Lineage: Bacteria
Description: partial 16S ribosomal RNA
Rfam family: Bacterial small subunit ribosomal RNA
Source: RNAcentral